UUAAGCGACUAAGCGUACACGGUGGAUGCCCUGGCAGUCAGAGGCGAUGAAGGACGUGCUAAUCUGCGAUAAGCGUCGGUAAGGUGAUAUGAACCGUUAUAACCGGCGAUUUCCGAAUGGGGAAACCCAGUGUGUUUCGACACACUAUCAUUAACUGAAUCCAUAGGUUAAUGAGGCGAACCGGGGGAACUGAAACAUCUAAGUACCCCGAGGAAAAGAAAUCAACCGAGAUUCCCCCAGUAGCGGCGAGCGAACGGGGAGGAGCCCAGAGCCUGAAUCAGUGUGUGUGUUAGUGGAAGCGUCUGGAAAGGCGCGCGAUACAGGGUGACAGCCCCGUACACAAAAAUGCACAUGCUGUGAGCUCGAUGAGUAGGGCGGGACACGUGGUAUCCUGUCUGAAUAUGGGGGGACCAUCCUCCAAGGCUAAAUACUCCUGACUGACCGAUAGUGAACCAGUACCGUGAGGGAAAGGCGAAAAGAACCCCGGCGAGGGGAGUGAAAAAGAACCUGAAACCGUGUACGUACAAGCAGUGGGAGCACGCUUAGGCGUGUGACUGCGUACCUUUUGUAUAAUGGGUCAGCGACUUAUAUUCUGUAGCAAGGUUAACCGAAUAGGGGAGCCGAAGGGAAACCGAGUCUUAACUGGGCGUUAAGUUGCAGGGUAUAGACCCGAAACCCGGUGAUCUAGCCAUGGGCAGGUUGAAGGUUGGGUAACACUAACUGGAGGACCGAACCGACUAAUGUUGAAAAAUUAGCGGAUGACUUGUGGCUGGGGGUGAAAGGCCAAUCAAACCGGGAGAUAGCUGGUUCUCCCCGAAAGCUAUUUAGGUAGCGCCUCGUGAAUUCAUCUCCGGGGGUAGAGCACUGUUUCGGCAAGGGGGUCAUCCCGACUUACCAACCCGAUGCAAACUGCGAAUACCGGAGAAUGUUAUCACGGGAGACACACGGCGGGUGCUAACGUCCGUCGUGAAGAGGGAAACAACCCAGACCGCCAGCUAAGGUCCCAAAGUCAUGGUUAAGUGGGAAACGAUGUGGGAAGGCCCAGACAGCCAGGAUGUUGGCUUAGAAGCAGCCAUCAUUUAAAGAAAGCGUAAUAGCUCACUGGUCGAGUCGGCCUGCGCGGAAGAUGUAACGGGGCUAAACCAUGCACCGAAGCUGCGGCAGCGACGCUUAUGCGUUGUUGGGUAGGGGAGCGUUCUGUAAGCCUGUGAAGGUGUGCUGUGAGGCAUGCUGGAGGUAUCAGAAGUGCGAAUGCUGACAUAAGUAACGAUAAAGCGGGUGAAAAGCCCGCUCGCCGGAAGACCAAGGGUUCCUGUCCAACGUUAAUCGGGGCAGGGUGAGUCGACCCCUAAGGCGAGGCCGAAAGGCGUAGUCGAUGGGAAACAGGUUAAUAUUCCUGUACUUGGUGUUACUGCGAAGGGGGGACGGAGAAGGCUAUGUUGGCCGGGCGACGGUUGUCCCGGUUUAAGCGUGUAGGCUGGUUUUCCAGGCAAAUCCGGAAAAUCAAGGCUGAGGCGUGAUGACGAGGCACUACGGUGCUGAAGCAACAAAUGCCCUGCUUCCAGGAAAAGCCUCUAAGCAUCAGGUAACAUCAAAUCGUACCCCAAACCGACACAGGUGGUCAGGUAGAGAAUACCAAGGCGCUUGAGAGAACUCGGGUGAAGGAACUAGGCAAAAUGGUGCCGUAACUUCGGGAGAAGGCACGCUGAUAUGUAGGUGAAGUCCCUCGCGGAUGGAGCUGAAAUCAGUCGAAGAUACCAGCUGGCUGCAACUGUUUAUUAAAAACACAGCACUGUGCAAACACGAAAGUGGACGUAUACGGUGUGACGCCUGCCCGGUGCCGGAAGGUUAAUUGAUGGGGUCAGCGCAAGCGAAGCUCUUGAUCGAAGCCCCGGUAAACGGCGGCCGUAACUAUAACGGUCCUAAGGUAGCGAAAUUCCUUGUCGGGUAAGUUCCGACCUGCACGAAUGGCGUAAUGAUGGCCAGGCUGUCUCCACCCGAGACUCAGUGAAAUUGAACUCGCUGUGAAGAUGCAGUGUACCCGCGGCAAGACGGAAAGACCCCGUGAACCUUUACUAUAGCUUGACACUGAACAUUGAGCCUUGAUGUGUAGGAUAGGUGGGAGGCUU
This 2129-nucleotide ribosomal RNA is filed under the name Escherichia coli. RNAcentral describes it as "bacterial LSU rRNA". It matches the Rfam family "Bacterial large subunit ribosomal RNA", at positions 1 to 2157 of the family's 2925-position model. Lineage: Bacteria; Pseudomonadati; Pseudomonadota; Gammaproteobacteria; Enterobacterales; Enterobacteriaceae. The record is from RNAcentral.